Long non-coding RNA from Felis catus (domestic cat), 1087 nucleotides. RefSeq lists it as uncharacterized. The transcript has 3 exons. NCBI's taxonomy places the organism in Eukaryota, Metazoa, Chordata, Mammalia, Carnivora, Felidae. The record is from RefSeq and is a predicted model, not a curated record.
GGGCUACUCAGUAGCACCUUCUUUUCCUGAGUUCCGAACUAACUGAGACAUAAGAUGAAUGAGUGACAGAGGGAAGCCACCAGAGCCCCUUUAUUCCCAAAUAAACCUUAACUGGAAGACGUCACUUAAGGUGAGAGAAAACAUGAUCCUGAGUACUGAACCUGAAGAAAUGACAGAUUUAUCCGCACGGUAAUGGCAACACUGAACUGAGGCAGCAUCCCAACAUGACGGCAUGCACGGGGUGUUCUGUGCCUGGAAAAGAAUGGAGAAAUUACGCUUUCUGUGGCUAGCUCACUCCCAAAAGAGAAAAAGGGCAAUGCUGAGCUGAGAAAGUUAAAGCCAUUAUUCUUCAAUCAUAGAGCACGGCCCUGUUACUCUGGGCAAAGCAUUCUGCCUGAUUUCUUAACUCUGGGCUCAGCCACAUGACGCACUUUGGUUAACGGGAGAUGAGCAAGCACAGUGCAACCACCUGUACCUCUGCCAUUGCCACCGUCAGAAGCGUGUUUUCCAACGAGCCCCCUGGAGGCUCAAAGUCAUCUCGUUUAUUCCAGCAAAGACCAUACUAGAUCAGUCAACAGCCAUCCAACCUCUAGACAGGGUUUGGGUGGCUCCAAGAAGAGAAUCAAUCUGGUAAUUUUGACACGAAUUUCAAAGGACAUGGUAGACCGUGCUUAGUGAUGAAUUUGGUGCUCCAGAAGACCCCACAGUUCUGACCGUAAUGACUUUCCUAGUUCUUCCAUUAACAGAUAAGUUAUGCUGGGCUGUUUCUUCAAACCUUCCUGGCCGAAAUGAAGAUAAUCUGUCUUAUUUCUUAACCACUGGAAACGAGAGUGAAUUUGUCAUAUCCAAUAUUCUGUAGAUUCCUUUGGCCAAUUAUUCUACUUUGGGUCUGAACUCAUCCCUAGUAAUGUACAAUCUGUUUUACAUGUUAAUUUUUAAUGGUGUGAUUUUGGCUUGUCCUUCAAAUCAGUUGAGUAGAAACACUGAUUUAUUUUUAUCCCUUUCAUCAAUGCCAGGGAACAAAAUAAAUUACUCCAGAACACGUUCUCUUGCUUUUGCUUCUCCCCUCUAAGAGAUUAUAGAUAAA